GUCAACUGUAUUUUGAAGUUGCAGCAUGAGUUGUUGCUGCGAAAUGUCCAUUUGCCAUGUUCUUAUUUAAUUUCUCUUUCUACAAGAAGGGUGGUGUAAACCAAAAUAAUCUUAUUAUUAUUGUGGCAAAAGCAUGCAACUUUCCCUCGCCACUCCUCCCCCUCACCAUAUUCCUCUCUCCCAUUCCCCUCACCAAGUUCCUUAUAAUUCUUUUACAUGGAACUGACCAAGUUUUCAUUACACCAUCUGCGAGAUCAGCCUGGUUGAAUGAAAAACACUGUCCACUUUAGUCAGCGAGAACGUAACUGGACAGACAUGCCGGAACCCGAUGAAGAAGAAAAAAAAAAGGUUUCCUUUGAUGAAGCAAAAGCCUACCUGUGCGAGUGAACCUUGGUGCAGUUUUCAAGGAGUUUGGAUACAUGUACAUAACCAAGGGUGUUUGUAAAAGCUGACCUCUACAAUAAGGAACUUCAUGGGGAGGAUCCAACUUGUAUCACAGGCGAUUGCCUGUAUGUCGGGAGUAUAUAGUAUGUGUAAUUAGAAUCAUGUCAUUUAUGCGGUAAAUGACAAAUAAUAAAUGUAGUAGAUCAAUAGGGAUUAAACCUGGCCCCCCUCAAUUAAAUAACUUGCUCAACCAGUUGCACUAUCAGGAUGGUAAAUGUAUAAUGCCCCAAGAGCGAACGCCUUAUGAUGCACAGCACAUUGUGCAAACCACAUGCUGAACGCUGGUAACUGUCGCACCAUAUCCAGUGGUGGUGAUGACGGGGUGCAGUGGCAAGAAUGAGAUUCUGAAAGUUUGUUGAAGGCAAGCUGAAUCUGUGUCUGCAGUGACCUCAACAAGCUGACAAAGACCACGAUUGAACUCUUUCAUGGUGAGAACAUAAUUUGGAGAUCUGUAGUGCCAAGACUGUUGCCAAGAUGACAAGCCAAUACUGUCUGCAGUUCUGCUGCAAUUGACAAAAUAAAAUAUUGAUAUCACAUUAAUCAAGUUUGAUGUUACCAUUUGUGACUUUCAUGCAAGCAUGUAAUUGGAAACGGUCUUUAGAUGUCUGUUGAAUGUAAUGAAAGCAGUGGCCAGAGAGAGUGCUUGCAUAUUUGUACAGUAAAGGUAGGUGGGGUGGACAAACAUGGCAAAGGCAAAGCAAAAGAAGUUGGAACUGAAUUGAAUGCUACUCAAGGCAUUGAAGGGAGCAGUGCAGCAAGGCCCAGUUUCAAAAGGCUGUUGUGAUGCCCAUUCUAUGGUAUAGUGGCAAGAAUCAAUUUUUUUGUCACAUGGAGAGUACCUAGCACUUCGAGCUGUGAAGUUUUCUCACUUCUUACACGUGUCCACACAUUCCUUUUCCAGCUCCUGUGGAAUCUUGCACCCAUAUAAUUUCUAAGAAUGCUACCCUGAGCGUAGUCCAGUGCCAUCAUUUGUACAAGUUUAUUGUUGUGACACAACAGGAAUGCUGGCAAGCGUAAUGUUUGACUUGUCUUGAACAUGGCUUGGCCUAAAGCAUAACCAUGGCUGCAUGAUUGAUGCACAAAUAAAGCUGUCUGGGUAUUACACCUUCAUAAAAGAUACGGGUUCUUUAGUAAUACAUCUAGCAUUAAUGCUAUAUGUAUUAACAUAGCAUUAAUGCUUACUUAAGGUGUAAAAAUUAAUACAGGAAUCUACUGAGCGAAACUGAUGAAAAGUGAUUGCAAACCUUGUGUUUUCUUCGAUUUUCUUGACCUGCUGGUACUGUUCACGUUCAACACAGCCAUGCACUAGUGGAAGUGUUUAUGUUCCAUUAUAAAAGGUCCUGCACAAUGGCAGAGGAAGGACAGCACGUUAAAUUGUUUUUAAUAAUUGUUUUUAGUCCACUGUGACAGAGAGAAUAAUACUGGCCACCAGAUAUUUCUACAAGGUGUCCUGGCUCUCUCAGAAGAAUGCCAAUCUGAUUAAACCUUCACAGACUUUCACUGCCUGAAAUUCUCAUGCAUACAACAGCUGGCACCACUUUUGCCUCUAGAAAUGCGAGGGAACUCUAUGCUUGCAACUAAUGGCACAGUGUACUCGCCACAGGUGCCACGAAGCCAGUAGCGACAACUCUGCCAGCAACCAAGGGAAUCACCACCGUUGGAGAAUGACUGGAGGCUUCUGCUCAAAUUCAUAGGCUCUACACAAGUGUGAAGUUUAUACAUGAUGGCCAAGGUGGUAAUAGACAUGCCUAUAAUAGCUGUGCUCUAAACAGGAAUUUUUUUGUGCAAGCAGAUCCUCCUUUGGAGAGUUUCCUGUUCACUGUUCCAAUACAUCCUUUGCCUGCUCUCCACUCAUGCCCAAGCAUGUGCAGCACAUGAGCACUGAACCCAGAGUCAGUAGCUUUGGCAACGUUGCUAAAGUGUUGGUGAUUUAACCAAUGAUGUGCUCCUUAAGCCCCUUGUGCCAACAUCAAGUGAGAUGCUGAAUGCCAUAAGACUUCCAGAGGCAAUUUACUGGCAAACUGAUACUGCUCCAAACAAAAGCUUGUGGGCGUUAUUUUGUGAUGUGGUGGAAAUUAUGUGCGAAAAUAAAUUAGUGGCAAACAGAA
This is a long non-coding RNA of Dermacentor andersoni, 2552 nucleotides long. RefSeq lists it as uncharacterized. The record is from RefSeq and is a predicted model, not a curated record. NCBI's taxonomy places the organism in Eukaryota, Metazoa, Arthropoda, Arachnida, Ixodida, Ixodidae.